This is a long non-coding RNA of Rosa rugosa (rugosa rose), 1639 nucleotides long. RefSeq lists it as uncharacterized. The record is from RefSeq and is a predicted model, not a curated record. The transcript has 5 exons. Lineage: Eukaryota; Viridiplantae; Streptophyta; Magnoliopsida; Rosales; Rosaceae.
UUAGGUCACUCUCCCUUCCAAAUCGCUCUCAGCCUCUUUCUCACUCUCCAUCGUUCUCAGCCUCUUUCUCACUCCCCAUCGCUCUCAGCCUCAAUCCCGCUCACCCUCUCACCCUUGUCGAGCCUCUCAGCCUCACUCUCACUCAGCCUCGUCUCUCUCCGUCGCGCGCGCCUUCAGUCUCUCCACCACGGGUUCUCUCUCCGUCAGUCUCCCUCAGUCGCGACUCCAUAUCUCUCUCUCUCUCCCCCUCCCCCUUGAGGAUCCACGGGUUCACUCUUCAGCCUCCAUCUCUCUCUCCUUAUUUUGUGACACGGGUUGGGUGCACCGGCGUUGUGUUUUUGGUUGAGGAGAAAGAUGAACGACUCAGAUUGUAAUUUUUAAUAAUAAAAUUCAGGAACUUCCAGGCACAAUUACUAGCUAAUGCACAUGCUGCUUUCUAAUUGGACUUUCUAAUGACAGGUUGAUGUACUUUCCAAGGGGACUAAUUUUAAUUGUAUUGGUGAUUGGGUUGUGGAGGCCACUGUAAAGUAAGAUUAGUUUGCAUGCACAUUUUCUUCUACUUAUUUAUAUAGUAUCUAUUUAAAAGAGUUUCCCUUGGUGCUUGUUUGUUUGCAAUGUUAUGAGCAUUCACCUGACGAGUGCAAAGUCUUUGGUUGGAGUAGUUGGAGUUGCACAAAAGGAAAAGAAGGGGCGGGAUGUGUAUGUUAUGGUGAGCUUCUUGAUGGGAAUUCUGGAAGUUUACUUAGUACUGAGCAGCAAAUCCAUGCUCCAGCUAAUUUAAAAAAGGGCACACACCAAAUGCUUUCACAAGCAAUAUAGUGCUUUUAACAGAUCACACAGUUUUGCUUUUCUGGGUAAGCUUGAAUGUCACUGCCAUCAUAUUUAGAUCUUAACACAAUUUGAUUAGAUACCAUUUGAUUUUAUGGAUAUUUAUCGCUUAUCUUUGAGCUUCUGGUUUGAAUGAAAGUUGAAUCGUAGACUCAAUGUUAGUAGUCUUAAGUUUGAUAUUUGGUUCUUGAGUCUAUUUAGUUGGAAGUGUGAUGCAGCAUUUAGCAUUUUUACUGCUGUGGUUAUCUUACCUAUUGACUAAUGAUCUAUUCUGUCAGUUUAAAUAAUUUCAAGUAGUGGCUUGGGUAAGAUCGGGGUUUUAUUUUUGUCGCUGCUUCGUACUGCUUGGAAUGCUAGAAGAUUUCUAUUUGAACUAUUCCGUAUGAGUUUUUUGAUUUGAGAGCACAACGUUUUUAUUGCGGGCCAUGCAAAUACUGAAAGGCACUUUGCAUUUUGUCUUCAUCAAGAUUGGGUAUCAAGGUGGGCUUUGCUUAAAAAUUAGGAUCAAGAAGGUUGGUAUGCGGAGAUAAUAAUAAAGGCAUAUGGAGAAAGCUUGCCUUGACCACACUGCUGGCUUAGUUGCUGUGCGUAAAUAGUACUAUCGUAUCUAGUAGUUGGUGACUUAUUUUGGUAACCUACUUGAUUGUACAAGAUAGACAAUAUUACUUGCUAGAUUGAGGUUACUUUUGGUUAGGAUUGCUGGAUUUGAUCAUAUCUGGAUAUGGAUAUGUACUUUUGGAAAUGUUUUGGAUUGACAAUGUAAGAACAGAUGGCAUUGAUAUAUGACAAUGUUAUAUUUUGGAUUUGUUCA